Molecule: ribosomal RNA, 349 nt
Filed under: uncultured bacterium
Lineage: Bacteria
Description: bacterial SSU rRNA
Rfam family: Bacterial small subunit ribosomal RNA
Source: RNAcentral
GAUGAACGCUGGCGGCGUGCUUAACACAUGCAAGUCGAACGAAGCACUUUACUUGAUCUCUUCGGAGUGAUUGUUUUGUGACUGAGUGGCGGACGGGUGAGUAACGCGUGGGGUAACCUGCCUCACACAGGGGGGAUAACAGUUGGAAACGGCUGCUAAUACCGCAUAAGCGCACAGUACCGCAUGGUACGGUGUGAAAAACUCCGGUGGUGUGAGAUGGACCCGCGUCUGAUUAGCUGGUUGGUGAGGUAACGGCCCACCAAGGCGACGAUCAGUAGCCGACCUGAGAGGGUGACCGGCCACAUUGGGACUGAGACAGGCCCAAACUCCUACGGGAGCAGCAGUGGGG